ACAGACAGCCAGGAUGUUGGCUUAGAAGCAGCCAUCAUUUAAAGAAAGCGUAAUAGCUCACUGGUCGAGUCGGCCUGCGCGGAAGAUGUAACGGGGCUAAACCAUGCACCGAAGCUGCGGCAGCGACACUAUGUGUUGUUGGGUAGGGGAGCGUUCUGUAAGCCGUUGAAGGUGUGCUGUGAGGCAUGCUGGAGGUAUCAGAAGUGCGAAUGCUGACAUAAGUAACGAUAAAGCGGGUGAAAAGCCCGCUCGCCGGAAGACCAAGGGUUCCUGUCCAACGUUAAUCGGGGCAGGGUGAGUCGACCCCUAAGGCGAGGCCGAAAGGCGUAGUCGAUGGGAAACAGGUUAAUAUUCCUGUACUUGGUGUUACUGCGAAGGGGGGACGGAGAAGGCUAUGUCAGCCGGGCGACGGUUGUCCCGGUUUAAGCAUGUAGGCGGAGGUUCCAGGUAAAUCCGGUACCUUAUUAACGCUGAGGUGUGAUGACGAGGCACUACGGUGCUGAAGUGAUAAAUGCCCUGCUUCCAGGAAAAGCCUCUAAGCAUCAGGUAACACGAAAUCGUACCCCAAACCGACACAGGUGGUCAGGUAGAGAAUACCAAGGCGCUUGAGAGAACUCGGGUGAAGGAACUAGGCAAAAUGGUGCCGUAACUUCGGGAGAAGGCACGCUGAUAUGUAGGUGAGGUCCCUGCGGACGGAGCUGAAAUCAGUCGAAGAUACCAGCUGGCUGCAACUGUUUAUUAAAAACACAGCACUGUGCAAACACGAAAGUGGACGUAUACGGUGUGACGCCUGCCCGGUGCCGGAAGGU
This 809-nucleotide ribosomal RNA is filed under the name Enterobacter hormaechei. RNAcentral describes it as "partial 23S ribosomal RNA". It matches the Rfam family "Bacterial large subunit ribosomal RNA", at positions 1085 to 1877 of the family's 2925-position model. Lineage: Bacteria; Pseudomonadati; Pseudomonadota; Gammaproteobacteria; Enterobacterales; Enterobacteriaceae. The record is from RNAcentral.